UUAAGAUGAAGUAGACUUUUUUUAAGAUGAAGUUUCAUAGACUUGCCAAUUAACAUUGGUUUCCUUCUGUCCUAAGAGCUGUACAAACAUAGUGGAAGAAGCCAUCCCUUCCCUGAAGGUGUCCUCUGAUGAUCUAAAACCAGAAGGAGCCGAUGGAGAUGUACUAAAACAGGUCUUGCAGGAUCUCUAAUCCAUCUCAGCUGCGUUCGUCUUUUAAAUACUUCUUCAAAGUCCACAUUUUGCUGCAAUGCUUGAAGAAAACACGUUUCCAAAGGUACGUAGCUUGAUUGGUCAUUGUCUGUGAAUUCUGGAAAUUGUGAAUUCUAUGAAUUCUGGAAAUUGUGAACUGAUGGUGCUGAA
This 360-nucleotide long non-coding RNA is filed under the name Calidris pugnax (ruff). RNAcentral describes it as "lncRNA (ENSCPUG00000000342.1)". The record is from RNAcentral. Lineage: Eukaryota; Metazoa; Chordata; Aves; Charadriiformes; Scolopacidae.